CAGCAGCCGCGGUAAUACCGAGGAUGCAAGCGUUAUCCGGAAUGAUUGGGCGUAAAGCGUCUGUAGGUGGCUUUUCAAGUCCGCCGUCAAAUCCCAGGGCUCAACCCUGGACAGGCGGUGGAAACUACCAAGCUAGAGUACGGUAGGGGCAGAGGGAAUUUCCGGUGGAGCGGUGAAAUGCGUUGAGAUCGAAAAGAACACCAACGACGAAAGCACUUUGCUGGGUCGACACUGACACUGAGAGACGAAAGCUAGGGGAGCAAAUGGGAUUAGAUACCCGUGUAGUCCCUGUCUCUUAUAA
Molecule: ribosomal RNA, 301 nt
Filed under: uncultured bacterium
Lineage: Bacteria
Description: partial 16S ribosomal RNA
Rfam family: Bacterial small subunit ribosomal RNA
Source: RNAcentral